GAACUGCGAUAAGUAAUGUGAAUUGCAGAAUUCAGUGAAUCAUCGAGUCUUUGAACGCACAUUGCGCCCCCUGGCAUUCCGGGGGGCAUGCCUGUCCGAGCGUCAUUGCUGCCCUUCAAGCCCGGCUUGUGUGUUGGGUCGUCGUCCCCUCCGGGGGACGGGCCCGAAAGGCAGCGGCGGCACCGCGUCCGGUCCUCGAGCGUAUGGGGCUUUGUCACCCGCUCGAUAAGGACCGGCCGGGCGCCAGCCGGCGUCUCCAACCUUUUUUUCUCAGGUUGACCUCGGAUCAGGUAGGGAUACCUGCUGAACUUAAGC
This 315-nucleotide unclassified non-coding RNA is filed under the name plant metagenome. RNAcentral describes it as "partial contains 5.8S ribosomal RNA, internal transcribed spacer 2, and large subunit ribosomal RNA". The stretch from base 1 to 105 matches the Rfam family "5.8S ribosomal RNA", at positions 50 to 154 of the family's 154-position model. The record is from RNAcentral.